Molecule: non-coding RNA, 116 nt
Organism: Acanthosepion pharaonis
Lineage: Eukaryota; Metazoa; Mollusca; Cephalopoda; Sepiida; Sepiidae
Source: the annotation of a GenBank genome assembly
UAUGGCCAUAACACAUUGGAACACUGAUUCCCAUACAAUCUCCACCAAAGUUAAGCAAUGUCAAUCCAGGUCAGUACUUAGAAGCAUGACCCCUUGGGAAUACCAGGUGUUGUAUG